This 468-nucleotide ribosomal RNA is filed under the name uncultured bacterium. RNAcentral describes it as "partial 16S ribosomal RNA". It matches the Rfam family "Bacterial small subunit ribosomal RNA", at positions 28 to 507 of the family's 1533-position model. The record is from RNAcentral.
GACGAACGCUGGCGGCGUGCUUAACACAUGCAAGUCGAACGGAAAGGCCCUGCUUUUGUGGGGUGCUCGAGUGGCGAACGGGUGAGUAACACGUGAGUAACCUGCCCUUGACUUUGGGAUAACUUCAGGAAACUGGGGCUAAUACCGGAUAGGAGCUCCUGCUGCAUGGUGGGGGUUGGAAAGUUUCGGCGGUUGGGGAUGGACUCGCGGCUUAUCAGCUUGUUGGUGGGGUAGUGGCUUACCAAGGCUUUGACGGGUAGCCGGCCUGAGAGGGUGACCGGCGACGGAGGGACUGAGAGACGGGCGGGAGAGCGACGGUAGGCAGCAGUGGGGGAGGGUGAGGAAGGGGUGGAAGCCGGAUGCAGCAACGCCGCGGGCGGGAGGGUGGGCUGCGGGGUGGAAACAGCAUGCGCCGGGAAAGAAGGGGGAGGCAGCGGAAUUGGUAAUGAAAAAAACACACACUACGUG